AUGGCCACACGGUGGGAAAGCAAUGGCGGCGGCUUCACCGAUCCGCGGGAUGGCAAACAGUUUUUUGUGGAUCACCCUGGAGCAGUUCCUAUUUCCACCGCUCAGGAUGAAGAGCUGAAGAAGGUAAUUGGCGGACGGCCUACGUUGAGUGCAGCUCAAAAACACAGCAGAAUAUCAAGGCGAUGUUUGAUGCAGCGAUUAAGGUGGUUCCAGCCUCCGAAGCAGAAGCAGAAGAAGUGGAAGGCGCAGAAAGUAUGCACGGACAGACCAAUGGUGGAGGCUCACGGGAAUGAGUGCUGCCGCCGCCGUCCUCACCCCUGA
This 321-nucleotide ribosomal RNA is filed under the name Triticum aestivum (bread wheat). RNAcentral's name for it is "partial small subunit ribosomal RNA". The record is from RNAcentral. Lineage: Eukaryota; Viridiplantae; Streptophyta; Magnoliopsida; Poales; Poaceae.